RNAcentral lists this ribosomal RNA (440 nucleotides) under uncultured bacterium. RNAcentral's name for it is "partial 16S ribosomal RNA". It matches the Rfam family "Bacterial small subunit ribosomal RNA", at positions 338 to 795 of the family's 1533-position model. The record is from RNAcentral.
CCUACGGGAGGCAGCAGUGGGGAAUAUUGCACAAUGGGGGAAACCCUGAUGCAGCGACGCCGCGUGAGUGAAGAAGUAAUUCGUUAUGUAAAGCUCUAUCAGCAGGGAAGAAAAUGACGGUACCUGAGUAAGAAGCCCCGGCUAACUACGUGCCAGCAGCCGCGGUAAUACGUAGGGGGCAAGCGUUAUCCGGAUUUACUGGGUGUACAGGGAGCGUAGACGGCAGUGCAAGUCUGGAGUGAAAGGCGGGGGCUCAACCCCCGGACUGCUCUGGAAACUGUACGGCUGGAGUCCAGGAGAGGUAAGGGGAGUGCCUAGGGUAUCGGUGAAAUGCGUAGAUAUUAGGAGGAACACCAGUGGCGAAGGUGGCUGACUGGACGGUAACUGACGUUGAGGCUCGAAAGCGUGGGGAGCAAACAGGAUUAGAGACCCUUGUAGUC